GGGAUGUAAAAUGCAAUUUCACUGAAACAUCAGGAGGUCAAGAGUGUUUUGGUGCCACAGGACAGCGUUUGAUUUUUCAUCUGUGGAAAAAGCCAAAUUCAGAGAUGAGGUUGAUAAAAGAUGACAAACAUCGCAUUUUGAUAAGCAAGAACAUGAUGGUGGCUGUGGAUAAGGAAUAUGUGGAACCGUACAGUCACAAUGAGUCUGAAUCUGAAUUCCUAAGGAGUGGAGAUUUAAUCCUGGGCACGGCUGCGAUGAAACAUUCAGGAAGUUACGUUAUGGAGGAAUUUAACUCUGUUGGUAAAUUACUCAAAAAACUCACUUUUCAUCUACUAAUACAAGGUAUGUACUGUAAACUGUGUGAGUAUAUAUAUUUGCACAACUAACUAUGAAAGGCAAAUCCUGACCAGCUGUUAUUGAUGACUUUUCAUGUAUCUGCUGCUCUUUCAGCUCCAGUAUCACAACCAGUUGUGUCCCAGUUGUGUUUGUCACCAGGACAGAUGAAGGUCAGCUGCUCCUCUGAGGGAGAAGCAGCAGAGCUCACCUUGACUCUAGACGAACGCAUGCUGAGUCCAACCAACUGUACGGGAGGAAAUCUGCCGCUGGCUGAAAGUGGAGCCGAACGACACAAACCCAACGUUUCACACGUUACUGUGUGUUUAAGUGCUCGGCUGACAGGAAGUCUUGUGUGUACGGCGUGGAACAUGGUCAGCAGACAGGAAACGCUUGUUCAUCUGAAGGACUGUGGAGAUUUCAUUUCUUCAUUCCCUGCUGUGACUGUGGCUGUGAUAGCGGGUGUUGCUCUCCUUCUCCUAGUGGCUCUUUUUCUUGGUAUAAAAAAAUGUAUUCACAAACCAAGACCCACAACCGUUAAUGAAUGCAAUGAUGAAACUGAAAUUGUCUACACUGAAGUUACAGUGAUAAGAAAUGUGAAGCACAAUACAGAACUAGACCAGCGUUCAACAUACUGUAAAGGUUUUCUUUAA
Molecule: long non-coding RNA, 986 nt
Filed under: Betta splendens (Siamese fighting fish)
Lineage: Eukaryota; Metazoa; Chordata; Actinopteri; Anabantiformes; Osphronemidae
Description: lncRNA (ENSBSLG00000019673.1)
Source: RNAcentral